Molecule: transfer RNA, 84 nt
Filed under: Patescibacteria group bacterium
Lineage: Bacteria
Description: tRNA-Leu
Rfam family: tRNA
About the family: Transfer RNA (tRNA) molecules are approximately 80 nucleotides in length. Their secondary structure includes four short double-helical elements and three loops (D, anti-codon, and T loops). Further hydrogen bonds mediate the characteristic L-shaped molecular structure. tRNAs have two regions of fundamental functional importance: the anti-codon, which is responsible for specific mRNA codon recognition, and the 3' end, to which the tRNAs corresponding amino acid is attached (by aminoacyl-tRNA synthetases). tRNAs cope with the degeneracy of the genetic code in two manners: having more than one tRNA (with a specific anti-codon) for a particular amino acid; and 'wobble' base-pairing, i.e. permitting non-standard base-pairing at the 3rd anti-codon position.
Source: RNAcentral
GCCGGGAUGGCGGAAUUGGCAGACGCGCACGGCUUAGAACCGUGUGAAUGAAAGUUCGUGGAGGUUCAAGUCCUCUUCCCGGCA